AACGAACGCUGGCGGCAUGCCUAACACAUGCAAGUCGAACGCCUGUAGCAAUACAGGAGUGGCAGACGGGUGCAUAACACGUGGGAACCUACCCUUGGGUUCGGAAUAACCGCGGGAAACUGCGGCUAAUACCGGAUACGUCCUCUGGGAGAAAGAUUCAUCGCCCUUGGAGGGGCCCGCGUCGGAUUAGCUAGUUGGUGAGGUAACGGCUCACCAAGGCGACGAUCCGCAGCUGAUCUGAGAGGAUGAUCAGCCACACUGGAACUGAGACACGGUCCAGACUCCUACGGGAGGCAGCAGUGGGGAAUAUUGGACAAUGGGGGCAACCCUGAUCCAGCAAUGCCGCGUGGGUGAUGAAGGCCUUCGGGUUGUAAAGCCCUUUUGGCAGGGACGAUGAUGACGGUACCUGCAGAAUAAGCCCCGGCUAACUUCGUGCCAGCAGCCGCAGUAA
This 451-nucleotide ribosomal RNA is filed under the name uncultured bacterium. RNAcentral's name for it is "partial 16S ribosomal RNA". It matches the Rfam family "Bacterial small subunit ribosomal RNA", at positions 29 to 523 of the family's 1533-position model. The record is from RNAcentral.